This 223-nucleotide long non-coding RNA is filed under the name Elaeis guineensis (African oil palm). RNAcentral's name for it is "long non-coding RNA (EGUI_LNC004807)". Lineage: Eukaryota; Viridiplantae; Streptophyta; Magnoliopsida; Arecales; Arecaceae. The record is from RNAcentral.
CUUUCUGACUUGCUUAUAAAGAUUAUAGCUUCAUUUUAUCAUAAAUAAUAUCCUAUUAGUGAUAACAUUAUUUGUGAGGCACUAUAUGUCGUCACAAAUAAUAUGCUUUUGACGACAAUUUUCGAAUGGUGCAUUAUGUAUCAUCAUAAAUAUUAUUUUUUAUAUGAUAGUAUCUUAUAUUUUCAUAAAUAACAUACUAAUCAUGACAACUUGUUAGUGACAU